AUAAGAAGGUCCAACCAUAGUUAGCUAAUUCGGAUUUGACAAAAGUUCAUUACGGAUGUAAUUAAUACGAAUAAAAUUUGUAUCCUAAUUUUUAAAUUCAUUAAAAAAUAAGACUUAAAAAAUAAAUUCGUCAAUUAUUCGGAUACGCGAUUUAUAUGAAAAUUAUACGUUCAUCAAUUAAAAAUUUGAGAUAAAAAAUUCAAUUAUUAAAUUAAACUUU
This 220-nucleotide long non-coding RNA is filed under the name Ananas comosus (pineapple). RNAcentral describes it as "long non-coding RNA (ACOM_LNC024858)". Lineage: Eukaryota; Viridiplantae; Streptophyta; Magnoliopsida; Poales; Bromeliaceae. The record is from RNAcentral.